AUGGCAUCCACCUCCCGCCCCACCCUGCCCUUUGCCUUGGCCCUCCUCUAUGACCCAACUGCAGCCGGCGCCAUCGCCGCUGGCGUUGAGCUGCCCAUAUCCAGGUCCACCCUGCCGAUCCCCUUCGCCGUCGCAGAGGCAGCGGGAGUGCCUCCACCCACCGCAGACCCCUCCUCCUCUUCCUCCACCCCAGCCAAACUGCUUGGCACAUCGAUCGAUCUGCCGGCGUUCCUCUACCCGUCCACCAAGAGCAUCGAGCCCCGGAACUUCAAGCAGGCUCAGGCCUUUGUGCGCUUCCAGACGUACAGGCCGGAGCUCGGCCCGCUGCCGGAGCCCUCGCCCGACGACCGCCCAACAAGCGCCAUCGUCUACCCGGCCAGCUUCGGUCAGGCCGACUCCCUCGACUCCCUGCUCGCCUCCCACGUCUACGACAAGGAGGGCGUGGUGGCAGUCAUCAAGAGGCACGAAGGCCCCAUCCGCAUCAUCCUCCACCAGAUCCAGAUCUCAUCUGCGCCGGAGGUCCUCACCCUGAUCGGCGCCAAGGUGGAUAUCGGCUGGGCCUUCUCUCCCGGUACCAUGGUCCUUGGUUGGAUCAGCAACAUUUCCAAGAAGAUGCGAGAUCUGGAGACUGUUGAUCUCCCCAUGCUGGCGGCACAUCCGAAUGACAAGACUGCAGCUGAUAGGUGUCUCCGUCGUCUGAAUGUCAUCAAAGACAACAUGAAGAAGGCUAAGAGGGCUGUCCAAGGGCGAGUGACUGUACCAACUGACCAGCUCAACGAGAUCUCCCGUGCUGUCAAGAGGCUGCAUCAGAAGAAAGAGCAUAACCUGCAGUACCUUGAGGACAGACUGCCUGAGUUUGUGCAGAUUCUGCAGGCUGUCCAGACUAGGGUGGUGGUGUUUAACUUGAAAACUAUCUCGAAACAUUGA
Molecule: ribosomal RNA, 927 nt
Filed under: Triticum aestivum (bread wheat)
Lineage: Eukaryota; Viridiplantae; Streptophyta; Magnoliopsida; Poales; Poaceae
Description: partial small subunit ribosomal RNA
Source: RNAcentral